AUCCCUGAUAAGUGAGAACUCCUGGAAUGGAUUCUCGCUCAAAGGACGCUUAGACCAUGCUUCUAGGCGUCGCCCAAGGAGGGGGCCGCGACCGAUCAGGUUGUUGGUGAGGUAACGGCUCACCAAGCCUUUAACCGGUACGGGCCGUGAGAGCGGAAGCCCGGAGAUGGGCACUGAGACAAGGGCCCAGGCCCUAAGGGGCGCAGCAGUCGCGAAAACUCCGCAAUACACGAAAGUGUGACGGGGUCAUCCCGAGUGCCAUCCGCUGAGGAUGGCUUUUCCCCAGUGUAUAAAGCUGGGGGAAUAAGGAGAGGGCAAGUCUGGUGUCAGCCGCCGCGGUAAUACCAGCUCUCCGAGUGGUGGGGAUGCUUAUUGGGCCUAAAGCAUUCGUAGCCUGCUUGGCAAGUCCUCCGUUAAAUCCAACGAUUCAAUCGUUGGGCUGCGGGGGAUACUGUCCGGCUAGGGGGCGGGAGAGGCCGACGGUAUCCUCGGGGUAGGGGUGAAAUCCUAUAAUCCCGGGAGGACCACCAGUGGCGAAGGCUGUCGGCUAGAACGCGCUCGACGGUGAGGGAUGAAAGCUGGGGGAGCGAACCGGAUUAGAUACCCGGGUAGUCCC
RNAcentral lists this ribosomal RNA (616 nucleotides) under uncultured archaeon. Its description in RNAcentral is "bacterial SSU rRNA". It matches the Rfam family "Archaeal small subunit ribosomal RNA", at positions 149 to 748 of the family's 1478-position model. The record is from RNAcentral.